GACGAACGCUGGCGGCGUGCCUAACACAUGCAAGUCGAGCGGGGUUGAAGCGAGAGGUAACUCGAACUUCUACCUAGCGGCGGACGGGUGAGUAACGCGUGGGCAACCUGCCUCAAGGUCUGGGAUAACAGCCCGAAAGGGCUGCUAAUACCGGGUAUGCUUGUGGCCUCGCAUGGGGCUAUGAGCAAAGGGGAAACCCGCCUUGAGAUGGGCCCGCGUCCCAUCAGCUAGUUGGUGAGGUAACAGCUCACCAAGGCGACGACGGGUAGCCGGCCUGAGAGGGUGACCGGCCACACUGGGACUGAGACACGGCCCAGACUCCUACGGGGGCAGCAGUGGGGGAUCUUGCACAAUGGGCGAAAGCCUGAUGCAGCGACGCCGCGUGAGCGAAGAAGGCCUUCGGGUUGUAAAGCUCUGUCUGGAGGGACGAAGGAAGUGACGGUACCUCCGGAGGAAGCCACGGCUAACUACGUG
Molecule: ribosomal RNA, 474 nt
Filed under: uncultured bacterium
Lineage: Bacteria
Description: bacterial SSU rRNA
Rfam family: Bacterial small subunit ribosomal RNA
Source: RNAcentral